This 445-nucleotide ribosomal RNA is filed under the name uncultured bacterium. Its description in RNAcentral is "partial 16S ribosomal RNA". It matches the Rfam family "Bacterial small subunit ribosomal RNA", at positions 354 to 796 of the family's 1533-position model. The record is from RNAcentral.
GUGAGGAAUAUUGCGCAAUGGAGGCAACUCUGACGCAGCCAUGCCGCGUGCAGGAAGAAGGCGCUACGCGUUGUAAACUGCUUUUAACCGGGAAGAAACCCCAGGACGUGUCCUGGGUUGACGGUACCGGAGGAAUAAGCACCGGCUAACUUCGUGCCAGCAGCCGCGGUAAUACGAAGGGUGCAAGCGUUAUCCGGAUUCAUUGGGUUUAAAGGGUGCGUAGGCGGAGCGUUAAGUCAGUGGUGAAAUCCUGCAGCUUAACUGUAGACUUGCCAUUGAUACUGGCGCUCUUGAGUGCGCUUGAAGUGGGCGGAAUGUGCCGUGUAGCGGUGAAAUGCUUAUAUAUGGCACAGAACACCAAUUGCGAAGGCAGCUCACUAAGGCGAUACUGACGCUGAGGCACGAAAGCGUGGGGAUCGAACAGGAUUAGAAACCCGGGUAGUCC